AGGCGGAGUCUUGGGCAAUUGCC
RNAcentral lists this microRNA (23 nucleotides) under Salmo salar (Atlantic salmon). RNAcentral's name for it is "ssa-miR-25-5p". Its record names the gene ssa-miR-25-5p. The record is from miRBase by way of RNAcentral. Lineage: Eukaryota; Metazoa; Chordata; Actinopteri; Salmoniformes; Salmonidae.